AUGAAUACUAUUUACUCUUAUCGGACCCGCACCACAAAAAAUCACUUUGAAUCUUAGAAUCUCCUUCAAGACUUUAAUUAGAUCUUUGUAAAGACAAAGUAUAAACGAGGAUAGAGUUUAGCACAACAUUUAUCCUAACAAUCAUGUCUCCUAUUGACAAUAAUCUACUUUUCCAACUAGAUAGCUUUUGUCUCAGCAUAUCAACAACUUUUCUCCAUAAGCUAGCUCUUCUAGGUCUAGAAUCGACCUGUUCCCCUAAGAAUUUGAAGGGAAGCCUAUCAAUAUAGCAGAAAAGAAAGGAUGAAGUAGUCUGAAUGAAGUUAUUUUUCACAUUAACACCAUAAAUGUUGUUUCUGAAAAAAAUAACCCGCAG
RNAcentral lists this long non-coding RNA (373 nucleotides) under Lathyrus oleraceus (garden pea). RNAcentral's name for it is "Pisum sativum (pea) long non-coding RNA (PSAT_LNC023244)". The record is from RNAcentral. Lineage: Eukaryota; Viridiplantae; Streptophyta; Magnoliopsida; Fabales; Fabaceae.